AUAUGCUUGUCCAUCCUACCUGGCCGGAUCAGCGCUGGGUCCAGCUUGUCCUUGUGGUUGGUGGUGAAGAUGAUGAUACGCUCGCCGCCGCACGCCGACCACAGCCCAUCAAUGAAGUUGAGCAUCCCGGAAAGGGUCAGCUUGGUGCCAUCGGCGUCCUGCUUGCGCUCUUUCUUCAUGUUAUCGCUCUCACCACCGGACUUCUUGUCCCCGCGCUUGCCGGUAAAGUCGACGGAGCAGUCAAUGUCCUCGAUGACGAUGAUGGACUUUCCCUUCGUCUCAAUGAAGAGCUUCCGGAGCUCUAUAUUGUUCUUGACCGCCGUGAGCUCGAGGUCGUAG
Molecule: ribosomal RNA, 339 nt
Filed under: Triticum aestivum (bread wheat)
Lineage: Eukaryota; Viridiplantae; Streptophyta; Magnoliopsida; Poales; Poaceae
Description: partial small subunit ribosomal RNA
Source: RNAcentral